ACGUGUCUCUGGCGGGACCCGGCGCGCCCUGCUCCGGCCUGUGGGGCCGUGUAGCGGGUGACCGGUCCCGUCCAACCUUCACAAACCCACUGUGCACAUUUGCGGUGGAGGGCCUCUGGGCGAGAGCCCGUUGGCCCGAAGCCGCCCAACUAAACCCCAGUUUGAUCGAAUGACUGCGGCCUCUGCGUCGCCUAACAAACGAAA
This 204-nucleotide unclassified non-coding RNA is filed under the name uncultured Agaricomycetes. RNAcentral's name for it is "sequence contains ITS1". Lineage: Eukaryota; Fungi; Basidiomycota; Agaricomycetes. The record is from RNAcentral.